Long non-coding RNA from Ficedula albicollis (Collared flycatcher), 2171 nucleotides. The record is from Ensembl. NCBI's taxonomy places the organism in Eukaryota, Metazoa, Chordata, Aves, Passeriformes, Muscicapidae.
UGUUAGGUUGGGAAAGUUAACGAAUGACCCCAGGAGUCGUGCGACCACGAAGGUUUCAGGAGUGUCAGAAGAAGCUCCCUAUGAAACGCCGCGGGGAAGUGAAGUCUGAGCACAGAGGGCGACUGGACUCAGAAGCAGCGCGGUGCUGUGUGUUGCAAAGUUACAAUUCGAAAAUACCCAAACAGCCAAAACAAAAAGCUAGAAAAGAAGGGAGAUAAUCCGUCUAUGACGCCAGGAGCACUUAAAGGGUCACAAACUGCCAACAUUUUCUGUACAAACCAGGGAGCUUUUACUUUCUCGGCUUAGAUUCAAAACACACCUUUCUUUCUUUGAUCCCAGAUCAAUGAGCUGUAGAAACGGUUUCAACAAAUCUCCUAAACAAAGUCAACUGUAGUUGCUUAGUUUAUUACCUCAUGGUCAUUAUACAGAAAAACCUUUUCUUUUCUGCUGAAAGUGACAGCCCUAAAAAUUGCUCAAGCUUUAUUUGCAAGCAGUCCCUCUACUCGCUGAACUUUUUCAGUAAAAGCCCCUGCAGGAUUUGGCUCACGAAAAUAUUUCUGCUAAUUAGAGGGAAAGGGAAAUUUUGGCGUUUUAACAAGAUCAACUGGUUAAAAAAAGAUUCAGGUUUUGCUCCCUUCUUCUGUCCCUCACCCCAACUUGUCAGACAGAUGAAGCCUGAAGCAGACUUAAAACUGUAAGUGGCUGGCUCAUAAUGAAAUGAAGCUUAAAAACAUUUUUCUUUCUUUUUCUUUUUCUUUUUCUUUUUCUUUUUCUUUUUCUUUUUCUUUUUCUUUUUCUUUUUCUUUUUCUUUUUCUUUUUCUUUUCCUCUUUUUUUUCUUUUUCUUUUUCUUUUUCUUUUUCUUUUUCUUUUUCUUUUUCUUUUUCUUUUUCUUUUUCUUUUUUUAUAAUAAUAUCAGAAGAUAAUUAAACUAAAUUGAAUCAAAUACACCGGUUUUGGUAAGAGUGUUGGCCUGCACAACAGUCCAACACACCACAAGAGUGUGCUGGAUUGUGUGUGAUGAAGAUGUAGCAGAUCUUCCAGCAACCCUUUUCACAGAGCUGUUGCAGACUCAAAUCUAAGAAGCGUUUUUUUCCUGUAUGUAGCCAGAUGUGUAGCUCUUUGGUUUUUUAGCCCUUCCUUCUGAGAACGGUCUGAAAAUUCUUUAAGAUGUCUGAAAUGUGGCAGAUUUAUGCACUGCCUAUAUAUAUAUAUAUAUAUGCAUAUAUAUAUAUAUGCAUGAAGCAAAAUAUUCUUAAUCUCCGUUCGAGCCCUAUUUUCCUCAAAGCAUCUUGAGUUUCUAAAUGACAGACACUCAAAUCUGUCCUGUAGCCCUUUUGAAAGCGUUAAACCUCCCUCAUGCCCCAUGAGUGCCUAUGACAAUAGGCACACUAAAAGAACCCCAGACUUACCCUUACCUUAACCUUACCCAAACUCUUUUUCCAGUUAAAGAACGGCAUCACCAGAGCAGCUCCUUCCAGCCCCUUCCUAGGGGAAUGGUGAGUGCUCUCUGAACUUCACAGAGAUCGCUUAUGCCCUAGAGGCCAAAAGGUAUUCAGCUCUUUGCCUUUUGUUUGGUUUUGGGUUUUUUCUUUCCCUCUCUCAUUCAUUCACAAUAAAUCCCCAGUAACGUUCCGAUUUUUCUUAACACAGUCGAGUCCCUUACGUUGGUGUCACAUUGCAGCUGGAAGAGUUUGAUUUGUUGCUUUUUUUUCUGAGUGGGUUGGUUUGUGCAGUUUUUUCCUGUUGUUGUUGUUUUGGGGUUUUUUUGUAGUGUUUGGUUGAGUUUUGGGGGUUUUAUUUGCUUUUUUGUUGUUGUUGUUGGUUGGGGGGUUUUGGUGGUUUUUGUUUUGAUGGUCUUUGUGUGUGCAUGCGCGUGCGCAGUCUCUGCCUUGCUGAAGUAUAUGGAUGGAAAAGCAAGUGGGCCUAGUGUAGAAAAAAGAGAUUUCAGGCUAAGGUACUGCAUUAAAGUCAACUCAAGGUUUGUCCAUACAGAACAGGUGGCAGAAAAGAGAGGAGGUCAAAAUAACAACACACUAAUGCAGAGGAGCUGGAAACGUCAAGAAGCACUGGUUUUGUGCUCUGAAAAAAAAUCCAAACAAACAAACAAACAACUUGCACAUUAACAUACCAGAUUUUUGCCCAUUUCUGUAGCUGUGUGCUUUUCCAGUU